GAUGAACGCUGGCGGCGUGCCUAAUACAUGCAAGUCGAGCGAACAGACGAGGAGCUUGCUCCUCUGACGUUAGCGGCGGACGGGUGAGUAACACGUGGAUAACCUACCUAUAAGACUGGGAUAACUUCGGGAAACCGGAGCUAAUACCGGAUAAUAUAUUGAACCGCAUGGUUCAAUAGUGAAAGACGGUUUUGCUGUCACUUAUAGAUGGAUCCGCGCCGCAUUAGCUAGUUGGUAAGGUAACGGCUUACCAAGGCAACGAUGCGUAGCCGACCUGAGAGGGUGAUCGGCCACACUGGAACUGAGACACGGUCCAGACUCCUACGGGAGGCAGCAGUAGGGAAUCUUCCGCAAUGGGCGAAAGCCUGACGGAGCAACGCCGCGUGAGUGAUGAAGGUCUUCGGAUCGUAAAACUCUGUUAUUAGGGAAAACAAAUGUGUAAGUAACUAUGCACGUCUUGACGGUACCUAAUCAGAAAGCCACGGCUAACUACGUG
RNAcentral lists this ribosomal RNA (496 nucleotides) under uncultured bacterium. Its description in RNAcentral is "partial 16S ribosomal RNA". It matches the Rfam family "Bacterial small subunit ribosomal RNA", at positions 28 to 507 of the family's 1533-position model. The record is from RNAcentral.